AUUAAAUAGUUGACAUCGAGAAAACAAAUGAAACCAAAUGUUUCCCCAGCAAACAAAUAUCAGAAAACAACAAGUGAUCAACAAAACCACGUCCACAUUAAAAUUAAAACUAGACUCCCAAAAAAAAAAAAAACAAACUGAGAAGAAAAAACCAAACAACACUACAGUUUCUCCCUUGAAACCCUAAAGCCAUGAAUCCAACUGAUAAACCUCUCUAAAAACCAGCAACCAACCAACUGCAUGAAUUGACAGUAAAUUUCCUUAGAGAGUGAAGAUUUGGUACAUCAUCGGAGUGAAAAAAUAGCAUAUUCCGAAACCCAAAUACAAGAAAUCAGAUUAGGUCCACUGCGACCAUUCUCUCCACCAUCUUCGGUGCCUUUUUAACCCAGCAUCUUUCCUCUGAGAACCAGGGUCCCUCCCUAGCCAAUACAUGUGCCGCAACAUUUGCCUCCCUUAUUGCAUUAAGAAAGUUAAUCCUAUCAAAAAAUCUCAACCUUCCUUUUAUAUCUUCAACAAUCGGGCGCAAUGUAGAUCUGUCAACUGUGCAGGAGUUUACUUGUUUGACAAUCGUCAACGAAUCGCCUUCAAUCUGAACACAUCGAAACCUAAGGUCAAAAGCAAAUCGGAUUGCUUGUUCACAUGCUCGGGCAUCAGCAACAAAAACAUCUUCAAUAUUAACAAUUGGGGGACACUAUAGUUUCAGAGCGUUCAAAGUUUUGCAUGUGACUGAGCAGAAAUGCAGCAAGUGGUCUACUAUUUUCACACAAAAGGCAAACAUUAGGAAUGUGUAUGUUUCGUUUGUUUAGAUUAACAUACAUAGGAAGGAAAUCAUUGUAUAUUCUUCACAUUGCUAUCUUGAUUUUCCCUGGUAUUUGUAACGCCCACAAUUCUGUAUAGAAUGUUGUAAUAGCUUUGUUAUUCGGGUAAGGCUAGCUCCCAAGUUCUAUAAUUUUUCAUGUAAAAGUAGCUUGUUCCCACUCUUAACUGUAUAAACCCUUAUCCCUUCAUGCCUCCAAAUCAUGGUAUCUGCUGGUCUCAUCUUAGCAAGCGGGAGUUCAGCUUGAUCAACAUCAGCAAAUACACGAAUAAUGUCUUCCCUUCAGCCAUCCCCAGGUCACGGAAUCCAUGGUUCGUUCUAGAUAUUCACAGUGUCUCCGGUGCCAAUACACCAACCUAAACUCUUUUCAAGUAAUCCUCUCGCGUUCAGAAUGCUUCUCUAGCUAAGAGAAGGGUGAGUACCCAACCUAGCUUAUUGAAACACAGUAUGUGUGUAAUAUCAUACUUUUAAUACCUUAACUAAUAAGCAGUCUGGCUGAGUCAAAA
Molecule: long non-coding RNA, 1323 nt
Organism: Gossypium arboreum
Lineage: Eukaryota; Viridiplantae; Streptophyta; Magnoliopsida; Malvales; Malvaceae
Exons: 3
Source: RefSeq, a predicted model, not a curated record